Molecule: ribosomal RNA, 405 nt
Filed under: uncultured bacterium
Lineage: Bacteria
Description: bacterial SSU rRNA
Rfam family: Bacterial small subunit ribosomal RNA
Source: RNAcentral
UGGGGAAUAUUGGGCAAUGGGCGCAAGCCUGACCCAGCAACGCCGCGUGAAGGAAGAAGGCCCUCGGGUUGUAAACUUCUUUUGUCAGGGACGAAGCAAGUGACGGUACCUGACGAAUAAGCCACGGCUAACUACGUGCCAGCAGCCGCGGUAAUACGUAGGUGGCAAGCGUUAUCCGGAUUUACUGGGUGUAAAGGGCGUGUAGGCGGGAUUGCAAGUCAGAUGUGAAAACCACGGGCUCAACCUGUGGCCUGCAUUUGAAACUGCAGUUCUUGAGUACUGGAGAGGCAGACGGAAUUCCUAGUGUAGCGGUGAAAUGCGUAGAUAUUAGGAGGAACACCAGUGGCGAAGGCGGUCUGCUGGACAGCAACUGACGCUGAGGCGCGAAAGCGUGGGGAGCAAACA